UUGCUAUUUGAGUAUGGAUAAAAAUGUCAUAGUAAAGUAUGUUGAAAAUUUCAUAUUAAAGCGUAAAAAAAAUAAGUAGUCUAGUAUAAUAAAAAUGACAUAGUAUAGUAUGAUAAAAAUGACCUAGUAUAGUAUGAUAAAAAUGUCAUCAAAUAGUAUGUUAAAAAUUUCAUAUUUAAGCGUAAAAAAAAAUUGUAGUCUAGUAUGAUAAAAAUGACAUAGUAUAGUAUGUUAAAAAAAAACUCUUUUUUUUAAGUCUGAAAAGAAAAAAAAAAAUCAAAUUUUAGUAUGACGUAAAAAAUGCCAUACUAUAGUAUGAUAAAAAUGUUCACGUAUAAGUGUGAUUAAAAUUUACUAUUUUAGUAUGAUUAAAAAUGUCAUAGUAUGGUAUGAUAAAAUUUUCAUAGUAUAGUAUGUUAAAAAUGUCAUAUUUAAGUGUGAAUAAAAAAAAAUCUAAUUUGAGUAUAAAAACAGCCAUAGUAUAGUAUGAUAAAAAAUUCAUUUUUAGUGAAAAAAUGUCAUAGUAUUGAAGGUUAAAAAAAAGUCAUAGUGUGAAAAAAAAAAAGAAUAGUAAGUGUAAAAAUCAUAGUAUAGUUCAACAAAAAUGUCAUCGUAUAGUAUGAAAAAAAUGUCAUAUUUUCGUGAAAAACAAUAUCAUAGUAUAGUAUGAUAAAAGAAAGUCAAAGUAUAGUGUGAAAAAAAGUUAAAGUAUAGUAUGUUUAAAAAUCAUCGUAUAGUUCAACAAAAAUGUCAUAGUAUAGUAUGAUAAAAAUGUCUUAGAAUAGCAUGGUAAAAAUGUUAUAUUUUAGUGUGAGCUCAGGAGGCAGAGCGGUCGAUAAAAAUGUCAUAGUAUAGUAUGGUAAAAAAUAUCAUAGUAUAGUAUGAUAAAAAAAUAUCAUACUAUAGUAUGGUAAAAAAAUAUUAUAGUAUAGUAUGAUAAAAAAAUAUCAUAGUAUAGUAUGAUAAAAAGUGUCAUAGUAUAUUAUGAUAAAAAGAUAUCAUAGUAUAGUAUGAUAAAAAAUGUCAUAGUUUGGAAUGUCUAAAAAACUUCAGCAUAGUAAAAUAAAAAAUCAUAGAGAAGGAUGUCAAAAAUAUACUAUAGUAUGAUAACAUGAUAGUAUGAAUUACCCGGAGUGAACCCACGCAGACACAGGGUGAACAUGCAAACUCCACACAGAAACACGAGAAUAAGGGCAUUACUUUAUUAAUGCUGAGUUCUGGUGUCAGAUUUAGGACACAUGUCUGCUCCCAGACUGUAGUCCAACCAUUGAAUCACCCCUCGACUCCAGGAAUCAGACGAGCAUCAUUCGCCUGCUCUAACUGGCUUCAAGAAGGUGAAUGAGUGUAUAUCCCAAACUGUCUCAUUAAUACACUCAAACAUGAGCUUACCAUUGCAAUCAAUUACAUAACUGGUGGUUUAGAGUUUAUAUGUUUUUCAUUUUGCUCUAAAAACAUCAAAGAAGCGUCUCCUCCUGGGAUCUAUUACCAAAUGGCUUUUGUCUAGAAAGUCUAGCGCAGACGGCUCACUUUACGGCUCAUUAGCAACUUAAAAAAGAAAAACUUUCCAACUAAGUGCUCAUUUGGAUAAUUACCCAAAGGUAAACCUUGUUUUCUACAGUUACCCUAAAGCUGAAAAAAUACCCCAAAGCAAGCCGCCCUGAAAAAAGUAAUCUGUUUUAAAUAGGACAUUUAAAAUGUAGGGCUGUCUUUAAUUCUCUACAGCACAUUCGCUCUCUUAACAUUACUUAAACUCUAAGGGGAUUAUAAAUGUGCAGAUGAGUAAUCUUUAUGUGAUAAUGUGCCCCCACCAUAUCAUUUUAGUGCCCUAAUCUGACCCUGUUACAGAGAGAGAUUAGAGAAACCGUAGGGAUUACUCUGGACCAGGAUUGCACAUCUUGUACGGUGCCAUGAGUUAAAGGGAAACCAGUGAAGCUGCUACUCUCAGGGGCAGAUUUAUCCUCUUUUACAGCCUCAGCCCUUUAGAUUUAUCACAUAUGAUUCACAACAAUCUGCUAAAGCAAAUGUGUUCACUCGCAGAAUAACUCGUCUUCUCUGUAAUUUGAUCUCACCUGACCUGAGAUUUCACAUACUGGUUUAUCACAAAGGGGUCAUUCAUACUCUAAAAGGAAAAACCCUGAAUGAUCUUCACGUGCAAAAAACUACCUUCUGGUGUUUUCUUUGAAGAUGAAAAAAGAAAAGGAGAGGCCCCUGAACAUGCAUGCACCAGUGCAUACUCCAAAAGUGUGUGAGUGUGCACGCAUUUAGUCUCCUUUCCGAUCCAACCCGAGGGGAGGGGGAUCAUUGGAGAUGGGAUAAAGCUACCUCUAGGCCCCGAUUUGUUGUUUUAAGUGAAUACUCCUCUUUCUGCUCUUUUCUGAGGGAAUCGGGUCAGUACGUUCUAACAGGGUAUGUGAUAUUUACCCAGAGGCAGUUUGUACAAGACAUCCCACCAGAGUAGGGCUCAUUCACGGGGGUGGUGCAGCAGGGAGCCAAUAGGAGAAGCCCUUCCUAUUGAAUCUAAAGCAGAAACUAACAUUUCCCAAUCUGUCUGCUCCACUCUGUCAAGAUACACUGCGCUUGUGUUUGCACUUUUAGUCUCCAGUUUGUGUCACCGGGAUUUAUACGCUGUUUGUGUUCUGUGUAGGUUAAUGUAAGGGUCAAAAAUGUGUUUUUGCAAAGAAAGAGGGAGUGAAAAUGUAAACACAAGUUAGUAGAAAAAUAAAAGCAGAUAUGUUUCAGGUGGUUUUUUCAUUUUUCUGAUCUCUUUUACCAUUUUACCCUCUUCUAUCUGUCCUUUUGUCCGUUUUUUUUUCUUUCUUUCCCUGCCUUUGUAGCUGCAGAGCUAAUUCAAUAAAGCUGCCGGCCAUCAACUGCUAGUCAGCGCCAAACCAUGCAGAAACGUCAAGGAAAUGGCGUCCAAGGUAAACAGGCUGUCAGGCCGCAUAAGAGCUCAUGGCUGGAGACUGAGCCCGGGUCUGACUGGGGUGGACGCACUGCACCUCGGUGACCCAAACACGGGGGAACAGCAGCACAGCAAGCAGACACAACACCACACUGCAUCAAACCGAGCCCUGCAAAUAAAACUGUGAUAAUUAUAGCAGGAUGGAGAUCAAAACGUGCAGUCCAAGCUACAACCCUCAAGUCUGCAUACUUGCCUGGCGUUGGUUAUAGCAGUCUUCGCCACAAGCCUCAGUCUGGAGUCUGCCAGCUGCAGUCACUUUUGCACAGUGCUGUCCAACACCGAACAAAGUGAAAACCCAGAUUGUGUACUAACGAAGCGCAUUAGACUGGAAAUGAGGUAUUAAAACAAACAAGAUACGAGCAAGAUAAGGUUAAAAUAAGGAAACACAAUUCAAAAAGGAAAUUCAACAAACAGAACAAUGUAAAGGGUCGACUUUAAAGGGAUAUUCCGGCGUAAAAUUAAUUUAGGGCCAAACACACCAUAACACAGAGUUAGACAUCCCUCGAGAGAUGAAUGUUGCUGACCACUUGCUUCUCCAGUUAUACCAACUUUAAUAACGACCGCAGGAUAACAAUACACAGCGGUCUGAGGAGCCAUAAACAAACCUCAACCAAAACGCCACUCUAUAGCCACAAAUAAUGAUCAGAACAGCACCUAACUUCAUCAACAGUACAUAUAGGGUCCCAGCCACAGCACUGGCCACCAAACAUCUCUAAUUUCUUUAACAAAGAGACUAAACACAACUCACCUACUCUCUUCCAGCAGCCGCUUGUUUGUAGUGAGACCUUGGGCCAGUCCAUUGCGGACUACAGCGGGGUGACACAGCUCAAGGAAGAACAUUUAUGAUCAUUUCUUCAUGGAAAUGCAAUCAGACCGAGACGCUAAGGCAGAAGAACUAGAAGAAAGUUGGUAUAACUAGAGAAGCAAGCACUCUUGGGGGUGUCUAACUCUGUGUUACGCUGUGUUUGACCCUAAAUUUAUUUUACGCCAGAAUAUCCCUUUAAGACCUGUUUUUGUUUCCUCACGCUCUAAUUCCUUAUUCUCACUUCUAUGUUUCCCUCAAUAAAGACGAGUCAAGAGAGAGGUGAUUUUCCCUGUGAACUCAAGAGCACGUGACGGUUUGAAAUGCCAAUCAAUGAAGCCUAAUAGAAGCCGAACAUUUCAGUGAGAGGCAAAAGUGGCAGAUUGAUUUACUGACCUGAGUCGCUGCUCGUGCAUGCACAAAAAUUACACUUAGUCAUGCAGCAGAUCAUUGGACAUGAGAGCAGGUCAGUGUCAAAGGGUCAGGAGAAGUUUUUGGCUUAUACUGACGUAUUUCUAUGUUUCGGUUCUGUCCUGCAAAAACAUAAAAGUUCCUCUUAAAAAGAAAAUAAUGAUGUUGGUAAAACUUGGAGUGACAUGGGACAAAAUUUUGAUGAACUGAACGGAGGUUAUACAUAUUUAUUGAAUCAUAUGUUGCUGUGUUUUCUGGCUGCUAAUGUUCCUUUCCUGUCUUAAAUGGCCUUAAAUGCCUUAAUGGAUUAAGAAUAGUAGGUCAGAGAGCACAGAGGAGAUAAAAGACCCAAGAGUAUUUCCACACAGUUCCCGGAACCAAAGCAGUCUCAGAGCCGGUGUAAUUUACCUCUUUGCAGGUGGUGAGCUCUGCUUGGUGCUUCUUAGGAUCAGAGGUUUUAGAGCGCAGAGAUGCUUUAGACACUAAAUCAUGUCUACAUGUGGAAGAAAUGCCACAGUGUGAUGAAUUUGGGACAAUUUUGCAUGGGCUUAAUCAUUGUCAUACCACUUUUUAAAAGCUCUGAGUCCUGCAUAAAGAGGUAAUUUCGGUCCUGAGGUUUAAAAGCUUAAUGAUGCUUUUUGCAUUAGGCAGAGAAGCAUAAACUAAUUAUGCAAUAAUUUCGCUUAGUUGAGACGAUCCACCGGGGAAUUUGAACAAUUUUAAUUCCUUGGUUUAAAGUGUAAACAGAGCUGGUGUCGGACAUAAUUGCGGCGCCUGGCUGCUGUAAUUCAGCUGUCGGGUUUGUUUCAAACAUUAAGAAAGGAAGUCAUCGGCUCGGCGUGAAGAAAAGUACAAAAGUGUUAUGACUACUUCUAACACAUUCAGAUGAUGACGGCUGAGAUUUGGUCGCACUGGGGUGGCAAAAAUAAAAGCUCACAAGCUGAAUCAAAAAUAAAAAAAAGAGGAAAUGCCAUUUGAAUAAAAGGAAACGGAGGCUUAAACUUUUAAUUUAAUAAAACAUCUAAAAACAUCCUGAAGGUGAAUUUCACAACAGUCCAGACCUCCAAACCAACAAAUAGUCUUUUCUGUCUUUGUAACAUCACUUCCAGUUUAAUCUUUAGAAGACUUUCCAAAAUCAAAACUUUAUUUAAUUUACACACGUUUGGUCCCUCAGGCUACACAAAGAGUCAAAGGACACGGUGGUAUCAGGAAUUUAUGAGCUGGCCUUGUAUCCUCUUUUCAUACAGGACGCCAUUUUCCAUUAACGAUGAACCUGAAGUGUGUUUUUUCAUUUCAUGUUGGCUGUUUUUAAGUGUGUACUGAGUGAUAGAGGUCGAUUUUAUGAUUGUUUUUAACAUAGUGAUCGUAUAGAACUCAGUGGAACUACAUAGCAGCAUGUUUGACCCCAAAGAAUGACCACUCCCCAGUUCUGCUUGUUCAAACAGAGUCAAGUAUCAUUUUCCACAAUGUUCCUCACAUAAAUAUUGAGACAAUAAAAUCUAAACAUUCUGCUCUCAAACCUCAAGCUCUACGCUUUUUUUUCCGACGAGAUUUACAGUAACUGGCAAGAAUCGGAGGUGUAACUAUACUGACUGCAUUGUUCAAGGAUGGAAAUUUCCCAACAAACCCUGAGGUCCUACCGUCAAACACAAACUUUAAGUAUACAAAUGCAGACCCACAAGAUGUUUGCCUCAAAGAUGGAAAUUUAAUUUAUAUAAUGUGCAGUUUCUUCAAGGACACACAGCAAAUCAUAAUACAUGAGAUUUAAUGUCUGCAGUCAUGAUAAAAACUCCACCAGGCUGUUUUUAAGAUAGAGAAUGGGGUUCAUUUACUGCUACAUUAAAGCUCCUAUAAGGAGUUUUUUAAAUAUGAAAUUCAUAUUAAUGCAUUUUCAUGAUAUAUAAAAGCAGGGAUCAAUCUUGAUCUUGAUCAGGGACAAGAUUGAAGAUUUUCUUGUCCUGAUUUUUAAUCAGCACGAGGAGGUAGGUGUCGGUGUUUAAGCAGAUUUUUUUUUUUUUUUUACAACUUCCACAUCUAUCUAUCUAUCUAUCUAUCUAUCUAUCUAUCUAUCUAUCUAUCUAUCUAUCUAUCUAUCUAUCAAAUAUUCACAAUAAGUGGCACAUUUGACUGUAAAAGUCAACAAGAUGAGAUUUUUUUGGUCAGAAGUCAAUACUCAGGCAUGUAAAGAACAGGAUAAAGUGACCAUUGACAAAAAAAAAAAAAAAGUUCCUCACAGGAGCUUUAAGUUGUAGUAGCUGUUCUGCAGCAUACAUUUACUUCUACUCCUGUCACAUAUAUGAUGGGAGCUGUACUUCUUCUUUGUUAUGUUGGACUGUAUACCUUUUUGCUACUUUCCCUUGUCGAUAAUUUAUUUUUUGGUUUAGUAAUCUUUCAACACUCAGCUGAGAUCUCACACAGUAAUACUCUAGUUUGAGAGUACACUUGAGAAAAAGUGGUAUCUUAAAGCUCGCUUUAUGUGAUUAAUGUGUUUAACACGUAUUUGUUGUGUUUGCAGUAUCAGCUCUAUAAAAUCUACUCUCUUUGUGAGACAGGUGGUUUUCAGGAGGUUAAAAUCUGUGUGUUUCGGUGUAUUUUUAGAGACUGUCUGGAUCCAAUCCCUUCAAAAACAAAGAUGAUCUGUGAUGACUUUUGUAUUAAUUUUUCACUGCUGUUACAAGCUUGCUAUGUUAGAUGGAGUCUACCAUCUCUAAUCUUUACAUUGUUACAAGCUAAUGGGUUCCAAUACAAUAGAACAUCAAGUUAGUUAGUUAGAUAAUUAGUUAGUUAGCUAGUUAUUUAAUACUUUAUAGUCAGAAUCUCUUGACAGGUUGCUGGUAGGCGGGGUUUCAGCCACACCUGGGAGUUACUGGCCAGUCUCUCAGGAUAUAAAAGACCAGCCUGCUGAACCACUCUCUCUCUCUCUCUCUCUCUCUCUCUCUCAGAUCCUCAGCAGAUCGCUCUGUGGCAGCAGGGUUUUUGUUCAGUUGGCUUUGGCCUCCUUUGGAUUUCGGUUCUGCACUUUACAACAUGCUGCACAUAAACGCACAUCUUUCUGACUAACUCACGCACACAUCUCAUCUGUUUUUGUUGGUAAAAUCAUUUAUUUCCGUGACACUUCAUAAAGCAACAUUUUUACCUUGGCACUUUUUGUGCUAACUCCAACCACCACAGCAUGCUCUGAGCUAAAUGCUGACACGCCACCACACUCACAGCGACAAAGCAAGAAUAGAGGAUCAAUCCUGUUGAUAACAUUUUCCUAAAAAGGAAAAGAAGCUCGAUUCUCUGCAUACCAACAAGGUUGUGAUGACAUGAUGACGCUCGCAGCACAAUGGAAGGCAUUUCUCUCUAAACCAAAGUGCUGAACAGUUUUUGUGUUGAUAUUUAGCUUCUUAACGUUUGAAAUCCUGAUUGAAAUAAUAAAAUUCCUCCUGGGGAGAUCAUGAUCAUCCGCAGCAAAUUUCAAGGCAAUCCAAGCAAAAGUUAUCAUACCGGCAUGCCAACUUCACUGUAGCGCUGAAGCCAAAGUAAUUAAAACUGCUAAGUCUGUACAAUUUUCUGCCAAAAGAUGUUGAAAUAUUUUACUGGAUAAGUGAAAAUUUUCAGAAUAAUGAAAGCGCUAAAUGGAAAGUCAAGGAUCAUCCGUUUUAUCAGAAAAGGACAAAGAUGUUUGAGCCAAAAGCCAGAGUAACACCGUCUCUCUCAAUGUCACACAGCUAGAAUAACUGAAAAUAUUUGUUCUCUGAAAUUACAGGACAAAGAGCGAUCAUUCGAAAACUGCUGAAGAGCCGGUGGGAUAAUACAUUUCACAAAACUCCAACUGAUGUCGAUUUAGAGACAGAUAGAAUAACCUUCCACACAAACGACAAGCUCAAUU
This 8049-nucleotide long non-coding RNA is filed under the name Xyrichtys novacula (pearly razorfish). Lineage: Eukaryota; Metazoa; Chordata; Actinopteri; Labriformes; Labridae. The record is from RNAcentral.